Molecule: ribosomal RNA, 317 nt
Filed under: uncultured bacterium T2702b
Lineage: Bacteria
Description: bacterial SSU rRNA
Rfam family: Bacterial small subunit ribosomal RNA
Source: RNAcentral
GAUGAACGCUAGCGGCAGGCCUAAUACAUGCAAGUCGAACGGGUAGUAGCAAUACUAUUAGUGGCGCACGGGUGCGCAACACGUAACUAACCUACCUAUACCUGGGGGAUAGCCCGCCGAAAGGCGGAUUAAUACCGCAUAAGGCUUGAUCUCGGAAUCGGGAUUUAGCCAAAGAUCUAUUGGAUAUAGAUGGAGUUGCGGGUCAUUAGUAGUUGGUAGGGUAACGGCUUACCAGGCGACGAUGACUAGGGGAGCUGAGAGGCUGCCCCCCACACGGCUCACUGAGGUUACGGCCCACUCCUACCGAGGAGAAGACU